UCUUUUACCACAGAUUCCACAACCAACUUACAUUCUACUAAAAUACCUUAUUCAUGUGUAACUAAAGAUUAAAAAGUUCUUUUAUGAAUUACUUGGACACUUAACAGUUUAUCUGUUUGCAUAACCCCUCAUGUUCUAUGGGAUCCUACUUCCAGUAACUCAUUAUUUGGGAGUGACCUCUCUAAAAAGAUUUUUGUUGUAGAAAAUCGAACUGAAAACUGUCUCAAGAUAUUUGGGGAUGAUGACAAUAUAUUUUAUAAAGUUACUCAAAAAAAGGUCUGAUGACAUAAAGAUGCCUUCAGGUUCACUAAAAACUGUUCAUAAAUCUUGUGCUAUGAAAGAAGCCAUAGGUAACCACAGUGAGAAAACUUUCUCUAAUGAUAAUGCUGAAGAAUUAAAGAUUACAUCUGCUGCCCCUCAGAAGAAAGGUCCUACAGACAGAGCCAAGUUCAGGAAGAUGGGAGCUGACCUGAAAAAGUUUGUUGCUGGCAAUGAAAGCAGAAAUUCCUUGGAGAAUUAGCAGUCGCAAAAGGAGAAUUUUCUAUGGCAAACUUUAAAACAAGAGGAGACAGUAAGUCAUCUUGGUGUAAACAGAAUGUACAAACAUCUUCUCUUGGUCCUUAAGUAUUUUUUGAUAUAUGAACUGUUUGUCAAUGCAUGAACUAUGAAGUUCUCUUAGGCAGAAAUUCUGUUUUAAAAUGGUGAACCAAGGAAUCUAUCUUAUUUUAUAUUAUUUUACAUUGUAAAUAAGAACAACCAUAUCCAGAACCAUAUAUAUAAAACAUUAUUUCAACUCUUUUGGAAAGAAUAUGUCUGUCCUUAACUCCUCCUCAGUGUAAAAUACAUUCCUGAAAACAUAUUUUAAUUUC
Molecule: long non-coding RNA, 869 nt
Filed under: Mus spicilegus (steppe mouse)
Lineage: Eukaryota; Metazoa; Chordata; Mammalia; Rodentia; Muridae
Description: lncRNA (ENSMSIG00000029573.1)
Source: RNAcentral